This 832-nucleotide long non-coding RNA is filed under the name Mytilus galloprovincialis (Mediterranean mussel). Lineage: Eukaryota; Metazoa; Mollusca; Bivalvia; Mytilida; Mytilidae. The record is from RNAcentral.
AACGUUGGUUGACUUCCUUGCUUUGUUUGUAUAAAUGUUUAUUCAAGCUUUGUAAUUAAGAUUGACAUCUUCAUAUAUAGGUAUGUAAACCUGUAUAUAUGAUAUUUAAAUUCAAUUGGACAUUAUCAAAAUAUACACACAAAGCAAGCAAGCUAACCAAAGUGUUGAUCUUCAUAAAUUAGGAAAUUAGCUGUAAGUUUAAGUCAGAUCAGCCGACAUGUUUAUCAUUUCUUCUUAAGACAAUUUGAAAUGAAACAAAUGACAAACGGCAAUGACCCUUUGUCAUAAUUUUAUUUUUAUUAUGAGAUUUUGUCAAACAAGCAGUAUAAAUAAAUUUUAACUUCAUUGCAAGAUCGGACAUUAUUUUACGAGAAUCAUCCAGAUAUCAGUUACCUGCAUACGUUGCAAGUAUGUCAAAACUUCUAAGAAUAAUUUUUUAUCGGCCUGACCUUCUGAAUACUCAAUUUUUGAAAGUUUUGAAAAAAAGACAUUAAAAAAGAAGGAUCAAAUCAUACGGAACAUGUGUACUAAGUUUUUAAGUUGACAGGACUUCAGCUUCAUCAAAAACUACCUUGACCAAAAACCUAACCUGAAGCUGGACGGACGGACGGACUGACGGACAAACGGACGCACAGACCAGAAAACAUAAAUUGGACAUAAAAAUAACUCUCACCAUUCUAAUAACCCCGGUAACCUGUACACAAUCGGCGCAAAUGAAAGACAAAAUCUACCCAAGUGAAAGAAUGAAAACAAAUAAAAUGCAGAUCGGUGCAAAUAUAAGACAAAAUCUAUACGCAUGUGAAAUAAUAAAUAAAUGAGAUGCAAAAAGUCG